Molecule: transfer RNA, 76 nt
Filed under: Bacilli bacterium
Lineage: Bacteria; Bacillati; Bacillota; Bacilli
Description: tRNA-Phe
Rfam family: tRNA
About the family: Transfer RNA (tRNA) molecules are approximately 80 nucleotides in length.
Source: RNAcentral
GGCUUUGUAGCUCAGGUAGUAGAGCAGCAGACUGAAAAUCUGCGUGUGGGGGGUGCAAAUCCCUCCAAAGCCACCA